RNAcentral lists this long non-coding RNA (1603 nucleotides) under Equus caballus (horse). Its description in RNAcentral is "lncRNA (ENSECAG00000048225.1)". Lineage: Eukaryota; Metazoa; Chordata; Mammalia; Perissodactyla; Equidae. The record is from RNAcentral.
GAGGCUUUUUAACAAGGGCCAGGAAUGUUAGCUACAUGAUGUGAUUUGUCCCAUCCUGAGAGCAAUCACCUGGCUUGGGACGCUCCAAUUCCCUUUUUAAGUAACCAUCUGUUGGUGUCACUGAGGGGAGAGAGAGAAGCUGUAGUAGUGGAAAGAACACAGCCUACUGAGUCAAGCAGAUCAGAGGUUUACUCAUGUCUCUACCAGUUUCCAGCUGUUACAACCUGGGCACACAACUUAAACCUAUUUUCCAGCCUUCCUUGGAUUUAUGUGCGGCCAAGUCACUGAGUUCAGCUGAUGGAAAGUAGACAGAAGUGAUAUGAGUCACUUUCAUUUCUGUCCCAUAUAAUCUUUGCAGGCAGACUCCUGCCUACCUGUCCCUCCUGCUUAGCGCAAACAAGAAUGGUGAUCUGAAUCCAUAUAUUGAAAAUGGCAGAACCACAAGAUGGAAGGCAUUUGGGCCGCUGAAUAGCUAUGGGGAAGGAGAGCUUAGAUCUCACAAUUUGAGAAACUUUUAUUAUAUUAAACUUCUAAAAUUAGGAAUUUUAUGUUAGCAAGUAUUACCCCCAAUGAAUCCUAAGCAGGCAGGAUGCUCAGUCGUUCUUGUCCCUUUGUGCCUUGUCAGUGAGAGGAGCUGCUGUUCCUCCAUGGCUUCCUGCUCCGGUGAGCUCAGUGCCCUAAGUCAGGACCCGAGGCUGCCUCUUAAGCAGAGCUGAUUAUUUGUCUUGUGGCCACUGCGCUGCUGGUGCCUGUAUUGUUGGGGCAGGGCUGCCAUCUUCUAUGCUGGCUAGAAAAAUGGACCCAGCUCUCCCCCAAGGUGGACCCCACUGUUUCCAUCUGGAGAGCAUGUCAUAUACCCCUAGUGUCUUGAUUCACAAUCUCGUGUCCCCCAUUCAGUUUUAGCCAAAGCUAUGGUGAAAGUUCCUGAGUGGGCUUCGCAGGUUCCCACGAUGGUCUUUCAUUUCUUCCCCUGGUGUUUCUCUGACUUCCCCGACAUUGCUAGGCACUCAUUCAUCAAACAAAUAUGCCCAGCCCGGAGGUGGGGCAACACUCAACCAAUGGGUUUGGGAUUCAACAGAUAUAUACUUCCAGGUUGGUCUUGGGAGCACCAUUCUGAGAGGCAUUUUAAAUACUCCUUGGUAGGUCCCAGGUGGGACCAAGACCCAGAUGCUCACACCAGUGACCUUAGUAAUACACACAUAUGUGGUUGUUUCUUCCUUCCCUCACCAUCCCCAGCCUCUCAGUGUUGCUCCCUGAGUAGCACACCCACACCCCAGUCUCUGUUUUUGGGGAAGCCAAGCUAAAACAGGCGGUGAUAGGAUGCCCACUCUGGCCUCAUGUCUAAGCUUUGUCUUAAGUUCAACUUUGCAUUAUACUGUGGCAGAUAUUGAGCACUUCAUUAAAGCUGACUACUCUCCAUUCUCAAUUUCUUCUUACGUCCCCUCUCCAUCCGUUAGACCCUGGUGGAGAUGAGGGGCUAGUCAUGCGCUCCUCAUAAUCUCUAACAGAUACUGGGCCUGAGAAGAUUCACUGUGUCCAAAACCAGAGGGAUAGACCCCCUAAAGAAUUCUAACUCAGUGAUGUUUAUUUCAGGCUAAGGAUU